Molecule: long non-coding RNA, 3359 nt
Organism: Mustela erminea (ermine)
Lineage: Eukaryota; Metazoa; Chordata; Mammalia; Carnivora; Mustelidae
Exons: 5
Source: RefSeq, a predicted model, not a curated record
GUGUGCUCUUGGGACACUCUCGCUCAGAUCAUCCUCCCGGUCGAUGCACCCAAAAGGUGUGCUCCAGGGAGGGGAUCGAGCGGGAGUGCCCUGGACCCUCUCCCUAGCCCACGUGGCUAGAGUUGUCUGUCUUGUAUUAGCUAUUGUGUGGUACAUGCUAAUAAACAGCUUUCGCUUUCAGUUAUUGUGUGUGACCCUUUGCUUCCACCAUUGGACUGGCUACUCCCCUGGGAGCUCCGUGAGCAGCAGAGAGCUCCCAGUUGGCGAGCCAGCCAGGAGAACACAGACGAAGUAGAGUGAGCCAUCCUUCGAGCCUCUAAAGCCUCAAUGAAUUCCUCCAGCUGAUAUAUGUGGAGAAUGAAUGGACCAUAGAAGGGCAAGUUAGAAGCAAAGAAGUUAUUAAAGAAGACAAGGUGAAAAAAAAAAGAAGACAAGAUGAAGGACUAAGAACCUUGUAUCUAGAAUAUCACCAUACCUGUGAAUGAAAUGCAUCUGCUCCAAGUAGACACAACCUUUUGAAAUAUCUACACACAGAUCUACAAGGUCAACCAAGAAUCUUAGGCUAUCAGAGCUUAAAAAGAAAGAAGAGCCUGAGAACAUUUUCAAUUCAAGAUCCCAUUUUAUAGAUGCAGAAACUGAGGUCCUGAGAAUGAAAGACUGGACCAAGGUGUAUGGGGCCAGAUGAGUCAAUUCUGGUGUAUUUGACCCAGCACUGCCAUCUUGGACCUGGGAUAGGGAAAGCACGCGUGUGGCUGUUCUGGAAUGUUGCCUCUGAGCCUUCUCUGUGGAGGAAAGGCUGGCUCCAAAUGAACUUAGCAUAAUGGGGACUUAGAGCCUGUGGUAUUCUGGCACUCAGCACCUACCAGCAUUCUACCCACUGGUGGGAGUAAGGGCAGUGAGGCACAGAAGCUAUCCUGCCCAGGAAAGGCCACGGAAGAACCCUUGAGAACCAGUCAGUAGAGCCAUCAGAAUCCUGACUAAAUAGGAAUAAUCUGAAAAGAGCUGGCCCAUGUUUUCCAUUUCGCUCCCUCUUCUUGACCCCAAACAAACAAAGCACAAUCUACAGAUAAAUGGUCUUGUUAAAGAUGGGGACUAAGUGGGUGCAUUUUUAGUCCCACUCUCUCCCCAGACCUUAUUAAGAUGACAGUAGAAGGAAAAUGGUUAUAAUCUUACAAGUACAAAUACAUCAGGAAAAUAAGUUUAGUGCAUGAAACAUUUGGGGGAAGCAAAGUGGAUGGAGGGAUGGUCCUUCAGCAGAGCUGAGAGACAGCUGGGCUGUCUGCAGGGGGAGAGGCAAGAAUUAGGCUGUGUUUCACUAGAAAACUCUCUACAGGCUCUGCAGUUGGAGGUAGCAGACAUCUCUGAAAGCAGGGGUGAGGGGCAAGCCUGGAAGCAAGAGGAAUGUUUGGAAGUUUAUUUUAGGAGCUAACUAGAUCCCAGGUCCUCCCACCACAGCAGGAGGCUUUCCACUGUAGAAAACACACACACACACACACACACACACACACACACGCGCGCGCGCGCGCGCGCGCGCGCGCGCCUGCGCACGGAAUUAGAACAACUCCAAGUUCAAAGAUAUCAGUCACACUCCGACACAGUGCUGAAAAUGGAGAGGAAAAUUAAAUGGGAGCCCCUAUACUCAGCCCUUGGACCUUCACCCUCUCCCCUCUCACCUCCCUGAACUGAGGCUUAGGCCCUGAUAGCCCAGGCAGGACAACAGCAGAUUCCUCCCUGGGGAAAGUGGGGUGUGCCAGGGAAGACACCCAGAUACUGUCCUUAGGGGAUUUGGGAACCCCCAGUGAAAAAGCAGGGUCCCACAUGACAACCAAAAGGAAGCUACCACAGUGUGUCUGUGGUUCCAGUCAGCCUCUUAGAACUCACUGUUAAAUAAGAAGACCAUCCACAAAUCAACAAACUGCUUGAUAAAAUGUCUCACAUUACAAACAGAUCUCAGAACAAAGAGGAUAAAGGAGUCAGGACAAUGCAGGAAGAAAAUUAAUACUUUAAAAAACUAUAGUUAGUGUCCUAGGAACGAUUAGAGAAGAUUUUGCCCAUAUGAAAAAAAUAUAUAUAUUAUUUUAAGAAGCAAUCAAAACAUAAGAAUGAUUUUGUGCAAAAUUAAAAUCUUAAAUUCUAUUUUAAAAAUUACAAAAAGCUCCCAUAAUUGAGAGCACAAAUACAGAGUUGGAAAACAGACAAAAACUGCUAACAGAACAAAAGGAUAAAACAAAGCAGCCCAUUAUCCAGCUAAUAGAGUUUUGAGAACAAGGAAAUCAAGAGAACAAAGAAUUUUAUUUGUUAUCAAAAAAUAAUAUAGAAAAAUACCCAGAACUAAAAGGGGUGAUUUUCCAGACUGAGUGUCCAGAUUGGUAAAAAGUACCACAGAUAAGAAGUUCCUAAAAUUUUCCGGAGAGGAGGAGCAGAAAGCAGGUCACUGAUUGCAAGUCCAAGAAUCAGAAUGGCAUAAGACUUCCUAAAGGCAACUGUACAAGCCAGAAAACAAGAGUGAAGGGGUUUUCAGCCUAGAAUCCACCCAACUUAUUCAUCAAGUGUGAGGGAAGAAAAAGGACAUUUUUCUCAAAAAAGAGGGGUAAAAAGAAGACUUUUGCCUCACAUGCCUGCUUUCUUGUGAUUUCUCUCAUUCACAACCAAACAAAAAAGUCAUGGAAUAGAGGAAACUAUGGUCCAGCAAGGAAAUCAGCAGGGUAAAACUGAAAGGAACCCCAAGGAUAACAAAUCUGCAGGGAGCCCAGAAGACAAGCACCUGUAUUGGCUCCAGGAGACUGUCCAAGAAAAAAACCUGUCAGGUGCUGGAUCAGCUGAUCUAUUUAACCCCAAUGACAGAGGUGCUACAAUUCUGUCAGAGCUGAGGUAUAUAAAAAAAAAAAAAAUGAAGCAACUGGGGAAAACAAAAGAGGCGUUUAUUAUUCUCGCCCAAAGUGGGGAAGAAAACACAAUCACAGCUUUUGAGUAACUCAUUUGUAAGUAGUAGUCAUAGUAAUGUAAGUCUGCACUAUUGAAUAAUCUGAAAAUUUUGAUAGAGGUCGGAGGAUAGGGAAACACACUUGCCAAUGUGUAGGGCUGGUGGGGUGUCGUCUGGUCCUGGGUCAGUCCAAGACAGUUAAAUUCUCACCUCUUAAAGGAGGGAGUCAGGAGAUUUCCUCCAAGACUGAAAAAAUCCAUGUGCAGCAGUAUACAUGGAGUGUGCAGGAGCAUAGAGGUAAAUACCAGAAGAAACGUGUAGAUGCCUGCCAUGUGGGAAUGAGACAGUCUUUCGCUAUAAACCGUGUUUUCUAUUUCAGUGUUUUAGUCACAGAACAUGUACUUCGAUAGAAAUAAAAAGCAAUUUUUUAAAUCUA